GUUAACGGCCGCGGUAUUUUGACCGUGCAAAGGUAGCGCAAUCACUUGUCUUUUAAUGAAGACCUGUAUGAAUGGUGAAACGAGGGCUUAACUGUCUCCCCCCCCUGGUCAGUGAAAUUGAUCUAUCCGUGCAGAAGCGGAUAUACUUCUACAAGACGAGAAGACCCUUUGGAGCUUAAGAUAAACCCAACUAUGUCAAAAAUCAAAAAAGACUUAAACCAAAUAGCCCUGGUACUAUCUUCGGUUGGGGCGACCACGGGAGAAAAAAGAGCUCCCAUGAGGAUUGGGGUAAUCCCCUGAAACUAAGAGAGACAUCUCUAAGGCACAAAAUAUUUGACCAUUGAUCCGGCCAUACGCCGACCAACGAACCAAGUUACCCUAGGGAUAACAGCGCAAUCCCCUUUCAGAGUCCAUAUCGACAAGGGGGUUUACGACCUCGAUGUUGGAUCAGGACAUCCUAAUGGUG
RNAcentral lists this ribosomal RNA (466 nucleotides) under Lampiella gibbosa. RNAcentral's name for it is "partial large subunit ribosomal RNA". It matches the Rfam family "Bacterial large subunit ribosomal RNA", at positions 1923 to 2555 of the family's 2925-position model. Lineage: Eukaryota; Metazoa; Chordata; Actinopteri; Siluriformes; Loricariidae. The record is from RNAcentral.